This 464-nucleotide ribosomal RNA is filed under the name uncultured Glomus. RNAcentral's name for it is "SSU rRNA". It matches the Rfam family "Eukaryotic small subunit ribosomal RNA", at positions 618 to 1083 of the family's 1831-position model. The record is from RNAcentral. Lineage: Eukaryota; Fungi; Glomeromycota; Glomeromycetes; Glomerales; Glomeraceae.
GUUAAAAAGCUCGUAGUUGAAUUUCGGGGUUAGUAGGUUGGUCAUGCCUCUGGUAUGUACUGGUCUCACUGAUUCCUCCUUCCUGAUGAACCUUAAUCCCAUUAAUUUGGUGUUUUGGGGAAUUUGGACUGUUACUUUGAAAAAAUUAGAGUGUUUAAAGCAGGCUCACGCUUGAAUACAUUAGCAUGGAAUAAUGAAAUAGGACGUUUGAUUCUAUUUUGUUGGUUUCUAGGAUCGAUGUAAUGAUUAAUAGGGAUAGUUGGGGGCAUUAGUAUUCAAUUGUCAGAGGUGAAAUUCUUGGAUUUAUUGAAGACUAACUACUGCGAAAGCAUUUGCCAAGGAUGUUUUCAUUAAUCAAGAACGAAAGUUAGGGGAUCGAAGACGAUCAGAUACCGUCGUAGUCUUAACCAUAAACUAUGCCGACUAGGGAUCGGAUGAUGUUAAUUUUUUAAUGACUCAUUCGG